AAGACUGUACUUCCCCGAGAUAAUUUCAAUAGAUUGUUACUUUGAGAGAAAUACCUCCCGAAGAUGUUUGGUCUCACUAUCCAUGAGUAGGAUCAGUAGUGUCCCCUUCUGUACAAGAAGCAAUUUGGGGAUGUUUCUUCAAUGCAGCUGUUCCUGAUAGUUGAUUACUGUUUCUCUCCCUCUAGCAGGCAGUGUAAGAAGUGGACGCAUUCUGAGUGGG
Molecule: small nucleolar RNA, 220 nt
Organism: Lepisosteus oculatus (spotted gar)
Lineage: Eukaryota; Metazoa; Chordata; Actinopteri; Semionotiformes; Lepisosteidae
Gene: U3
Rfam family: Small nucleolar RNA U3
About the family: Small nucleolar RNAs (snoRNAs) are involved in the processing and modification of rRNA in the nucleolus.
Source: Ensembl